This 818-nucleotide long non-coding RNA is filed under the name Fragaria vesca (wild strawberry). RNAcentral describes it as "long non-coding RNA (FVES_LNC004577)". Lineage: Eukaryota; Viridiplantae; Streptophyta; Magnoliopsida; Rosales; Rosaceae. The record is from RNAcentral.
AAAUACUGGGUGUGAGAGAGUAGAAAAGGUUAAGGGAGACUCAUUUCGAGCAGCAGUCCCCCUUCCUUCCAAGUUUCAUCAAAUCGUCUAAACUUUCAAAGCACUGAAGAUUGAGCAGCGAUUGGUGUUGGUGCUAAACCGAUUGGAAGAUAUGGAGUUGUAGACUGGCGGAGAUUGGUAAACCGAUUGAGUAGCUCUGAAGUAAGAACAAAGCAUCAGGGAGACGGAGAAUCGUUGUAAGUUCUUGAAUUGAUAUCAUUAUUCUUUUUGGGUUAAAUAUCUAUAUUGUUUUGGGAUUUCCAUGUCUAGAUCGGGUUCGCCCAAUAGAUUGAAUCUUGUUGUUCUUAUGUUCUAUCUCCGGAAUCCCAGAUUUCAUUGGAUGAUUCCAAAUUACUGAGAUUGAUGAUUGAUUCCAUGACGGCCGUGUGUGUUUCGCUUCAUAUAACGGCUAGAUGGAAAUAUAUAUCAUGUCAGACAAGUUUGGUUGUUUGGACGCGGAUAUUUUCUUGUCGGAAAUCUCAUAUCUUGUCAGAGCUGGAUAUAUUUUUAUCCGGCUUCAUUUCUGUCUAUCGCGACUGAUGCCGAAAAUCGCGAAACCCAUCUAUUCCUCUGCCAGCUCCAUUCAUUUACCUACUCCCUUCCCAUUUUCCGGCCAGCUUCGACCAUUUGCGACUGCAGCCGACCUUCUCCAACCAUCUUUCUCAUUUUGGUGUCUUCUGGGUAAAUUUCUCUUCAAUUUUAACCUCCUGUUUAUGGAUCUUUAGCUGUUAUUUUCUCAAAGAGAUUCAUCUUCAGUCUAAUGUAACAAAUUUCUCUCU